Molecule: non-coding RNA, 788 nt
Organism: Coturnix japonica (Japanese quail)
Lineage: Eukaryota; Metazoa; Chordata; Aves; Galliformes; Phasianidae
Source: RefSeq, a predicted model, not a curated record
AUGGGGUUCAGUAUGGGGCUCUAUGGGGUGUUAUGGGGUUCUAUGGGGGGUCUAUGGGGGAUUUGGGGUCAGUCUGAUGAGGGUCCUGAGCGAGAAGGACGUCGACCCCGUAAGGACCACGUCCAAUGAUAUAGUGGAGAUCUUCACUGUGCUGGGUAUCGAGGCCGUCCGUAAGGCCUCCCAUAUAGCCCCCUAUACAUGUAAUGGGCUGACCCUAUACACCUUAUAUACCCCCCUAUACCCUUAUAUACCCCCCUAUACAGGCAUAAAGCUGACCCAACACCCUAUAUACCCCCCUAUCCAGGUACAGGGGUGACCCUAUACCCUAUAUACCCCCUUAUACAUGUAUUGGGCUGACCCUAUAUACCCUAUAUCCCCUAUACCCUCCUAUAGGUGCUGGGUAUCGAGGUGGUCCAUGACCCUAAACAGGCAUUGGGGUGACCCUACACCCUAUAUACCCCCAUAUAGGUACUGUGCUGACCCUAUAUACCCCCAUAUAGGUACUGGGGUGGCCCUAUAUACCCUAUAUCCCCUAUAUCUCUAUAGGUGCUGGGUAUUGAAGUGGUGCGUGACCCUAUACCCUAUAUACCCCCAUAUAGGUACUGUGCUGACCCUAUAUCCCCUCUAUCCCCUAUAUCUAUAGGUGCUGGGUAUCGAGGUGGUCCGUGACCCUAAACAGGCAUUGGGGUGACCCUACACCCUAUAUACCCCCAUAUAGGUACUGUGCUGACCCUAUAUACCCCCAUAUAGGUACUGUGCUGACCCUCUAUCCCCUCUAUCCCCUCUAU